UUACAGGGAAUCUAUUUUCUCGAAGUAAUUUUAUCACAGCAUUUUUUCGUUCUUCUAAUGUGGUUUGAAGAAUAUUUACUGGAGCGUUUGUAAACAAUUCUGCCUUGUAACAAUACAACACUGCAAAACAACUUAUAAAUUAUUUAUGAAUAAAGGAAUAAUUGAAAAUUUUAAAUAAUGUACAAACGAUUCUAACCUUUCCGAUACUGGAUCAACUGUAUAAACAACACCAGAUAUCAUGGUAUUAUCUUCAGUUAAAAUGUUCACUUUCAUACCAAUGUAACUUUUAAAUAAUAAAGGAUCAUUUUUAUAAA
Long non-coding RNA from Apis dorsata (giant honeybee), 314 nucleotides. RefSeq lists it as uncharacterized. The record is from RefSeq and is a predicted model, not a curated record. NCBI's taxonomy places the organism in Eukaryota, Metazoa, Arthropoda, Insecta, Hymenoptera, Apidae. The transcript is spliced from 2 exons.